GUGAGGAAUAUUGGUCAAUGGACGAGAGUCUGAACCAGCCAAGUAGCGUGCAGGAUGACUGCCCUAUGGGUUGUAAACUGCUUUUAUGCGGGAAUAAAGUCAGGUACGUGUACCUGUUUGUAUGUACCGCAUGAAUAAGGACCGGCUAAUUCCGUGCCAGCAGCCGCGGUAAUACGGAAGGUCCGGGCGUUAUCCGGAUUUAUUGGGUUUAAAGGGAGCGCAGGCGGAAGGUUAAGCGUGACGUGAAAUGUACCGGCUCAACCGGUGAUGUGCGUCGCGAACUGGCUUUCUUGAGUGAGUACGACGCUGGCGGAAUUCGUGGUGUAGCGGUGAAAUGCUUAGAUAUCACGAAGAACUCCGAUUGCGAAGGCAGCCGGCGAGUCCUCAACUGACGCUAAUGCUCGAAAGUGCGGGUAUCGAACAGG
RNAcentral lists this ribosomal RNA (425 nucleotides) under uncultured rumen bacterium. Its description in RNAcentral is "bacterial SSU rRNA". It matches the Rfam family "Bacterial small subunit ribosomal RNA", at positions 354 to 776 of the family's 1533-position model. The record is from RNAcentral.